Molecule: long non-coding RNA, 709 nt
Organism: Alosa alosa (allis shad)
Lineage: Eukaryota; Metazoa; Chordata; Actinopteri; Clupeiformes; Clupeidae
Exons: 3
Source: RefSeq, a predicted model, not a curated record
AGCUCAGGUGAAACUCAAAAAGAGCCUACGCACACAUGCACACACACACUUGAGACGGGAGGUGUGUCUGCUUUUCAAAUCACCAUUCAUUUGGGCGCGACAGCGUCAGGUUCCAUAACCACUUUGUGUCAAUUUGUACCUCAGGACACUGUGAAACACAAGCCUCCAGACCAGGCAUGGCCAACAGGCUAACAACUCUCACACACGCAGACACUUGGACACACAAGGAAAUGGGGCAAUGACACAAAGAGGUAUGGAGGCCGCAUGGUCAGAACACAACACAAGCCCAUGAGUAGCCCAAAUCAGCUGUGGCAAAGAGGCGUGGAAGCCUUAUGGGCACGAAGCAGCUACAGGAUGAACCCGAGCAAUGAGCUGUAUCAGCCACACAUGCCACAAGGCCUCGCUCUGCACUCCUGCAUCCUUCCUGAAGCUUCCCCUGGAGAGAAUAUCUGAGAUGUGGAGUGGAGUGAGGAGGAAAGCAGGAAGUGCCUCUGCUCACACCCUCCGCAAAUAACAAUCUGCACACGCCAUGUCCGGAACAGCCUGCAACAGCAGAGAAAACAAACGCAGACCCAGCAACCCACCUAGAACCAGGGAAAAGCCGGGGAUACAACGCGCUCAACUCUACAACUCUAAUAUACACACACACAAACACAGGGGACGUUGUGAAGUCAUAGUGCGUGUGCGUUACAUUUUUCCCUAAACCUAA